CUGACAGUAUCGAUGGUUCCAUUCCUCUUCCCAGGUAGAUGUUAAUGUCUCUUCUGGAGUGGAAGCCUGGUUAAAAUUGGUUCUGUUUUUAAAAAAAAAUCACGAGUCCAGGAUAAAGUUAUCCACAAGGUGAUUCCCAAAAGCCAAGGUUAUAAGAAAUAAGAGCUGCAGGAAGACUUUGACCCUGGAAGCCUGCUCCUCAAUGCAAUAAGAUCAAACUGAACCUCCAUCUCAACUUCACCUUCCUGCACGAUACCCACGCCUCAAUUUCCUUCAAGGUCAUUGUAUUUCUGCGUUCUCUAAAAUAUGCUCAACGACUCAAUGUCUGAAACUUUCUGGCGUAAAGAAUUCCAAAAAUUCAUAACACAUUAACAAAGACAUUUCACCUCCUCUCAGUCCUAAAUUACAAAGCCUUUAUUCUGAGACUCUGUCCAUGUUUUCUGGAUUUCUGACACCUGGAAGACAUUUUCAAUAGUUGAUUCUAUAAAGCCCUUUAAUAAUUUUAUCUAUGUCUUCUUUUUAUAACGACCAAGGGACGUAGGCCUAGUCUACUCACUGAACUUCCCCCAUCUCAGAAAUUAGCCUCAUACAAUUGUUGCACUCAUCCUCGAAUGGGGCUGCAUUGAUGUCGAUCUUUCAAAACUCGACAGACCCUGGAAGAAUUCCUAUGGAUUGGAGGGGAGCUCAUGUAAUCCCACCAUUAAAAAAAGGACGUGGAGAGAAAACAAAAAAAAAAUCGGAGCCCGGUUAGCCUGAAAAUCAGUAGAAGGGAAAAUACUACAGUCUAUUCGAAAAGAUUUCAUAGCAGAACACUUGGAAAACAGUCACAGGAUUGAACAGAGACAACAUGGAUUUACAAAAGGGAGAUCAUGCUUUUACAAAUCUACUGGGAUUUUUCAAGAUUGUAACUAGUAGAGCUGAUAAGGGGGACAUCAGUGGAUGUGGUUUGCUUGGACUUUGAUAAAAUCCCAUAUAAGAGGCUAACAUUUAGAAUUGAAGUGCAUGUGA
Molecule: non-coding RNA, 1008 nt
Organism: Chiloscyllium plagiosum (whitespotted bambooshark)
Lineage: Eukaryota; Metazoa; Chordata; Chondrichthyes; Orectolobiformes; Hemiscylliidae
Source: RefSeq, a predicted model, not a curated record